Molecule: long non-coding RNA, 2328 nt
Organism: Vitis vinifera (wine grape)
Lineage: Eukaryota; Viridiplantae; Streptophyta; Magnoliopsida; Vitales; Vitaceae
Exons: 4
Source: RefSeq, a predicted model, not a curated record
UCACUGGAAACGGACUCUUGUGGGGAAAAAGGGGGUGUAUGUAUUUAACAUCAUCAUCACCUAUUUGGAAGUGACUUGAAACACACCAUCUAAUAUUCUCAAGAAGAACCCUAGCCCAUUUACCACCCCGACAAUUCAGUCUGGCGCUCAGACACCCCCGAAUCCGUUCCUUUGAACCCAAAAAAGAAGCGUUUAGAUCUUCCACCGGGAAGGAAAUAGCUGUUUGAGCGUAGAGUUGCUCCAAUCAAAUCAACUCAUCAAGUGUGCGACUAGCUGAGCUAAGGAUGAUGCCUCUUUCCUCUUCACCCAAGAUGAGGGCACUGACCAUAGGAAGUUUCAUAUUGGGUAUCACCCUAUAUGGUGUUGGUUUGUAUUACGCAUUUGUCAACAUUGAUACUCAACAAGAACUAACCAAUCCUCGAAAGGAAGCUGUCAAAGAAUGGCUGAGAAAGAGAAAGACAAAGGAUGAAUGACAGAAGCAUGCUUUCCAUCUAGGGGAACUAAUGCAUUUGCACAUGUGGAGCUUGCAAUAUUUGGGUAGGAUUUGUGCUAAGUAUGGAGCUUGACCUGCAUGAUGUAUUUAGUGUCAAGGCAUAUGAGCACUGGCAGAGCCACCAUAUGCUCAGAGGAGGAAGUGCCCCCCAGACCUCCCCCCCCCCCCCCCCCCCCACCCCCAUAGUUUGAAUUGUGUUGCAAAAAGGGCUUAAACUCCAAGCCAAAUUUGCAUCUUGAUAACACAUCCCCCAUCCGGGCCCAAAAAACAAUUGCUUCUUACAUUUCUGGCUCCGCCGCUGCAUAUGAGAAGUUCUAAUGUGAAAUUAUAGCUCUUGCUGAAAGGAUAAAAAGGAAAGGUCACCAGAAACACUUAUCCCUGCUUAAUAUAAUGCAUAUAGUGGUUAUAGUUUUAAAAUUACUGAUUAUAACUUAAAUAAAACAGAUUUGUAGUUGUUGAAGACGGUAUUCUGCCUAGUUUUCUGCCAUUCUAUUGGAUAAAAACUUGUUUGAUGGUUGGUGUUUGAUCAGAUCACUUGGAGAUAUGGCAAAGGUAGCACUUGCAAUGUGGCAAAGAAGCAAUGCUUUGGACAUCCAGCCGAGAAGUUAGGUGUAUGUUCUCAUGUAAUCUUCCUCAAGUGAGAAUCAUGUGUAAUAACUAAUAACCCGGAAGAAAGGCAUGAUUCUUAUAAUAUGGUAGUGCUAGUUUUCCUUGGGAUUUUCCCUGGUGUUGUUUACAGUUUGCUUGAAGGGUGUUGUGACCGAUUAGAGAUGAAAGAUAAAUUAGUGCUCAAGCAGCAGGCCUGCAACUUUUUGGUUCCCAGAUAUGAGUCCUACAACACUGGACUGGAAGCCUAUUUCCAGUUAGUUAUGACUAGUGAAACAAAAGGGUGGAUAUUCUUAAGAUGACCAAUUGCUUAAUAGAUUGAAUUAAAUGUAUUUAAUUUGAAAUAUAAUUAAAGGUUUAUUAAUAAUUUCUCUUUUUUUAAAAAAAAUAAUAUAAAAAAAUUGUCUUUCCACCUUGGGAAAUUAAUUUAUCAAUAUUUAAAUAUUUUUAAUAAGAGUGACCAUUUUUUAAUGAGUAAUUUUUUUUAAUAGAUGGAAAUUAUUUUUCUGGUUAUUAUUAUUUAUUACCCCCAUGCCUUUAAAUGAAAUAUUUCUAUUGAAUCACAAGCCGACAUCCGUCACCUGUAUAUUUCCCAACCUGAGCUGCUCCGCGCCCUCUCCCCCUGCUCUUCUCUCCAGAUCUUCGGUUCAACCUAUAAAGCACUGGGUUUUGUCUUUUAAUUUAAGUUCUUCAAUCAGAUUACUUCGUCAAUUGUGUAACUAGCUAAGAUAAUGGUCACUUGCUAUCCUUCAACGCCUCUGAAGAAGGCAGUACAUGUAGGGUGCUUCCUUUUUGGCGCCACCCUUAUGUGUAUUGGUGGGUAUCUCUCCUUUGCCAACAUUGAGCGUCAACAAGCUCUAAUCAAGGCUCGAAAUGAUUUUGUCCGAGAACGACUGAAACGGAGAUCUGGCAAAUAAUAAAGAUGUUUAUAUAUAUAUAUAUAGUUGUCUAUCAAAAUAUUUAAUAUUUCAAAAAACUUGUGCUGGCCAUUGGAAUAAUUGAGAGAAAUUUCCGAAGAAUGUGUGAUGGGAUGAAGUUGCAAAACAAGUUAGAAAUUUGAAUUUUUUUCCAGGUUUUUUCAAAUUUGGGUCAUUCAUUUUUAUCUCUUCUUAAGAAGCACAACUAUUUUUUUUUUUAUAUAGGAAGAAUUUUAGCACAACUAUAUCCUCUGUUAGGCUCUGAAAAGAUUGUAGCAAUUUCUGGAGAAUUAAUGCAUGUUAAUUAGAUUA